This is a long non-coding RNA of Neopsephotus bourkii (Bourke's parrot), 2620 nucleotides long. RefSeq lists it as uncharacterized. The record is from RefSeq and is a predicted model, not a curated record. The transcript is spliced from 3 exons. NCBI's taxonomy places the organism in Eukaryota, Metazoa, Chordata, Aves, Psittaciformes, Psittacidae.
UUCACAAUAUUUCCUUACCUCCUUAAGUACGUAAUAGAAGGUAAAGCACUAAAUUAUGCAGCUAUGGUAUGAAAAAACACAUGUCCUACAUAACAGCAGUAUGAAAUCCAAGUCUAUCUGGAUCUCCAAUAACACACUUACAUACAUGUUAUCUUGAAGCUUAGGAAUGGAUGUCCAGUUUAUCAGUGAAGGCCAAUUUCUCAUGCUAGGUCUUGGGAGGCUAGAAACAUGAGUAUUACCCUUAUCAUUAAUCUAUCAUUCUCUCAGUCUCUGUAAGGUAGAGGAAGGAUGAUACUGCCAAGUUACCUUGUUCUGUACGAGGAUCACAGAUACGUAUUUGUUGCUUAUGGUCAGGCAGAUUUGCUGACCUUUGCCAGUUGGAAAAUCCUAUUUUAUUACUUCUCAUUCUUCUCACCUAACGUUUCCCGAUCACUUCAUCUCCUAUCAGUAUGUCUAGUGCUAAGAUAGCCUUGUAGUAGCAAUGACUUUUACUCAUACAUUAUUAAACACAAGUCUAUAUGGGUUAUUUUUACUGCUACUUUAUGUAAUCUAAGACCUACAUAAUGAGUCAGAGGAUAAAACUGCCCUCCAUAGCUCUGAUCAAUGCCCAUUAGCAGUUAGUAAUAAUUAGUGCCUAUGUACAGAAAUUUGAGUAAGCCAGCAGGCUGGUAGUAACUGAUUGCCAAAAGCAGUGGGUUUGGGAUGCUCAUCCUGCACCAGCUGAGUAUCUCCUGGUAGGCAGAUCUCUUCCACGUGUCAUUUGGAAGUAGUUUGUGCCACCAGUGCUGCAAAAGCCAUGGUUCAGGAAGUUGUGCUUUAGUAAAUACAUUUUGUCUGUGCUAGAAAUACAGACGUCAACAUCUGAAGGCUGUAAGUAAAGACAACUGGUGUCAGUGCAGCAUGCAGUUUUCAGUUUGAAAGGGAAACAUCUCUUUCUCUGGUAUAACAACUGGUGAAGAAUUAUACGGUUGUUCAAGUUAUUUCUGACACCACUAAAAGUGCAUAUCAGCCCUUGUUAGCUGUUCUGCCACUCCAGUGUCUACAACAGGAGGAAAUUUAACUUCAGAUGUGCUCUUCAACAGAACCAGAAUGUUAAAUCAGUUUCCUGUUCCAGUCUUCCCAAGAGCCAACUCAGUCUAGUCCUGCUGCUUUGGUAGGUUUUGAUCUUUCCUUCAUAUUAUGCACACAAAUAUAUUUAAACUAAGGAAAAGUCCCAGUGGGACAUCUGUGCUCAAACAGUUAUGUAAACCCAGAACAGAGAUCUGACUCUUAAUACACCCCAGACCUGCUAAUAUGCUUACAGGAGUGACACUGGGAUCCUGCAGGAGUUGGAGGCCAGAAGUUGUUAUUAACAGAUGGGAAGGUUCCAGCCAUCUGUGCAUGAGAUAAACCGCCCUAAUAUUGAAGAGCAGGCAGCUGCAUCAGAAUUGCUGUUGGAAGUGCUCCCUGGACCACACUAGUCCCUGAAGCAUGCUUGGCAACCAUAUGGGAAAGCCAAACCUCAGCUUCCACAGGAGGGAGAAGGAAAGGAAAUCCGCUUUGGUUUUAACAGCUGGCAGUGAAUAGGGGAGUUAUGAAUACAUGGAAAUGAAGAAUGAGGGCACGUGACUAAAGCCAUGAAGGUCAGUUUUUGGUAUGCCAACAGAUGAGCAAUGCUCCAAGUGGCAUUUGACAAAAUGUCACUCUGAUUGUGUAGACAUGAUGAUGAUGUCAAAAGAGACUCAUGUGAAUUGGGAUUCAGGAGGAUCCUCUAUUUAAAUCCUGUCUGAGCUACUGACAGGCUGCAUGACCUCCUACAAUAUACUGAGCUCCAUGGGUCAAAUUGGUCCUCAUUGCAACUAAAUUGACUACAAUAGAAUUACUCUGGGAGUGAACUUGAUUUUUCAGACAUCAGUCAACACAGCUGGUUCACAGAAUAAAUGAAAGAAAGCAGGCAUAGAUGUCACUGGAAGACAGAUGCAUCUGAACUGAGACUUACAGUGUUAGCAAAAUCAGAGCAGAACUGCACAACUGUUACUUAAAAUGCAUAAAUAAUUGUUGAUGGUGGUCUAUUGACAAUGUAAACUCCAUAAAGGCAACCAAGCUACAAAAGUGUCAUUGUCUUUUUUAAUGGGAAUGUAAUGAUCAUGUAUAUUAAUUAUAACUUGGGAAAUGACUGAUGCUUCUUUAAGAAUUCUGUUAUAGUUUUUUCUUCAAAAUAUAAUGACGUUAAAUGACACAAGCAUACAACACAAUGCUGCACAGUGGUAACCUUCUUCCAGAGGAAAUGCUUCUGGAGGCAGAUAACAAAAUAAUGGCAUUUAUUAAUGAAAGAUAGUUAAGAAUACUUAACAUAAGCACAGGAUAAAACUACCUCUAAAAUGGUGAAAAAUAAGACUGCUUCUAAGCUUCCCAGGAUAGAAGCUUUUAGAAAUUACAACUUUUAUGGAUUUGGCAUAGACAAAGAACGAAGUGAUUUGCUGCUUUGUAGAAAAUGAAGUGAGGGACUAGUGUUAUCUUACUGAUACUUUAUUCCACUAUUUAUGCUUUGCUUGUGUGCAGCUUUUGCUUUACCUGUUAAACUGCCUUUAUCUCAAUCCAUGAGUUCUCUCACUUUUACCCUUCCGAUUCUCUCCCCCAU